This 2825-nucleotide ribosomal RNA is filed under the name Klebsiella pneumoniae. RNAcentral describes it as "bacterial LSU rRNA". It matches the Rfam family "Bacterial large subunit ribosomal RNA". The record is from RNAcentral. Lineage: Bacteria; Pseudomonadati; Pseudomonadota; Gammaproteobacteria; Enterobacterales; Enterobacteriaceae.
GGGUUGUGAGGUUAAGCGACUAAGCGUACACGGUGGAUGCCCUGGCAGUCAGAGGCGAUGAAGGACGUGCUAAUCUGCGAAAAGCGUCGGUAAGGUGAUAUGAACCGUUAUAACCGGCGAUGUCCGAAUGGGGAAACCCAGUGCAAUUCGUUGCACUAUCGUUAACUGAAUACAUAGGUUAACGAGGCGAACCGGGGGAACUGAAACAUCUAAGUACCCCGAGGAAAAGAAAUCAACCGAGAUUCCCCCAGUAGCGGCGAGCGAACGGGGAGCAGCCCAGAGUCUGAAUCAGCUUGUGUGUUAGUGGAACGGUCUGGAAAGUCCGACGGUACAGGGUGAUAGUCCCGUACACCAAAAUGCACAGGCUGUGAACUCGAAGAGUAGGGCGGGACACGUGGUAUCCUGUCUGAAUAUGGGGGGACCAUCCUCCAAGGCUAAAUACUCCUGACUGACCGAUAGUGAACCAGUACCGUGAGGGAAAGGCGAAAAGAACCCCGGCGAGGGGAGUGAAAAAGAACCUGAAACCGUGUACGUACAAGCAGUGGGAGCACCUUCGGGUGUGACUGCGUACCUUUUGUAUAAUGGGUCAGCGACUUAUAUUCUGUAGCAAGGUUAACCGUAUAGGGGAGCCGCAGGGAAACCGAGUCUUAACUGGGCGUUAAGUUGCAGGGUAUAGACCCGAAACCCGGUGAUCUAGCCAUGGGCAGGUUGAAGGUUGGGUAACACUAACUGGAGGACCGAACCGACUAAUGUUGAAAAAUUAGCGGAUGACUUGUGGCUGGGGGUGAAAGGCCAAUCAAACCGGGAGAUAGCUGGUUCUCCCCGAAAGCUAUUUAGGUAGCGCCUCGUGAAUUCAUCUUCGGGGGUAGAGCACUGUUUCGGCUAGGGGGUCAUCCCGACUUACCAACCCGAUGCAAACUACGAAUACCGAAGAAUGUUAUCACGGGAGACACACGGCGGGUGCUAACGUCCGUCGUGAAGAGGGAAACAACCCAGACCGCCAGCUAAGGUCCCAAAGUCAUGGUUAAGUGGGAAACGAUGUGGGAAGGCACAGACAGCCAGGAUGUUGGCUUAGAAGCAGCCAUCAUUUAAAGAAAGCGUAAUAGCUCACUGGUCGAGUCGGCCUGCGCGGAAGAUGUAACGGGGCUAAACCAUGCACCGAAGCUGCGGCAGCGACACUAUGUGUUGUUGGGUAGGGGAGCGUUCUGUAAGCCUGCGAAGGUGACCUGUGAGGGUUGCUGGAGGUAUCAGAAGUGCGAAUGCUGACAUAAGUAACGAUAAAGCGGGUGAAAAGCCCGCUCGCCGGAAGACCAAGGGUUCCUGUCCAACGUUAAUCGGGGCAGGGUGAGUCGACCCCUAAGGCGAGGCCGAAAGGCGUAGUCGAUGGGAAACAGGUUAAUAUUCCUGUACUUGGUGUUACUGCGAAGGGGGGACGGAGAAGGCUAUGUUAGCCGGGCGACGGUUGUCCCGGUUUAAGCAUGUAGGCUGGUUGUCCAGGCAAAUCCGGAUAAUCAAGGCUGAGGUGUGAUGACGAGGCACUACGGUGCUGAAGUAACAAAUGCCCUGCUUCCAGGAAAAGCCUCUAAGCAUCAGGUAACAUUAAAUCGUACCCCAAACCGACACAGGUGGUCAGGUAGAGAAUACCAAGGCGCUUGAGAGAACUCGGGUGAAGGAACUAGGCAAAAUGGUGCCGUAACUUCGGGAGAAGGCACGCUGGUGUGUAGGUGAAGUCCCUGCGGAUGGAGCUGAGACCAGUCGAAGAUACCAGCUGGCUGCAACUGUUUAUUAAAAACACAGCACUGUGCAAACACGAAAGUGGACGUAUACGGUGUGACGCCUGCCCGGUGCCGGAAGGUUAAUUGAUGGGGUUAUCCGUAAGGAGAAGCUCUUGAUCGAAGCCCCGGUAAACGGCGGCCGUAACUAUAACGGUCCUAAGGUAGCGAAAUUCCUUGUCGGGUAAGUUCCGACCUGCACGAAUGGCGUAAUGAUGGCCAGGCUGUCUCCACCCGAGACUCAGUGAAAUUGAACUCGCUGUGAAGAUGCAGUGUACCCGCGGCAAGACGGAAAGACCCCGUGAACCUUUACUAUAGCUUGACACUGAACAUUGAGCCUUGAUGUGUAGGAUAGGUGGGAGGCUUUGAAGCGUGGACGCCAGUCUGCGUGGAGCCAACCUUGAAAUACCACCCUUUAAUGUUUGAUGUUCUAACGUUGGCCCCUGACCGGGGUUGCGGACAGUGUCUGGUGGGUAGUUUGACUGGGGCGGUCUCCUCCCAAAGCGUAACGGAGGAGCACGAAGGUUAGCUAAUCCUGGUCGGACAUCAGGAGGUUAGUGCAAUGGCAUAAGCUAGCUUGACUGCGAGCGUGACGGCGCGAGCAGGUGCGAAAGCAGGUCAUAGUGAUCCGGUGGUUCUGAAUGGAAGGGCCAUCGCUCAACGGAUAAAAGGUACUCCGGGGAUAACAGGCUGAUACCGCCCAAGAGUUCAUAUCGACGGCGGUGUUUGGCACCUCGAUGUCGGCUCAUCACAUCCUGGGGCUGAAGUAGGUCCCAAGGGUAUGGCUGUUCGCCAUUUAAAGUGGUACGCGAGCUGGGUUUAGAACGUCGUGAGACAGUUCGGUCCCUAUCUGCCGUGGGCGCUGGAGAAUUGAGGGGGGCUGCUCCUAGUACGAGAGGACCGGAGUGGACGCAUCACUGGUGUUCGGGUUGUCAUGCCAAUGGCACUGCCCGGUAGCUAAAUGCGGAAGAGAUAAGUGCUGAAAGCAUCUAAGCACGAAACUUGCCCCGAGAUGAGUUCUCCCUGAGACUUUAAGUCUCCUGAAGGAACGUU